This is a long non-coding RNA of Catharus ustulatus (Swainson's thrush), 375 nucleotides long. RefSeq lists it as uncharacterized. The record is from RefSeq and is a predicted model, not a curated record. NCBI's taxonomy places the organism in Eukaryota, Metazoa, Chordata, Aves, Passeriformes, Turdidae. The transcript is spliced from 3 exons.
AUCCAGGGAGGUGAUGGCUGAAAACUGGCAGGGAUGGAUUUGGAAAAGCAGUCUGAGGCAAAAACUGUCUUUGUGCAAGCAAGUUUUGACCAUGUGAGGAGGCUGAGUGUGACACAAAGCCGAAACUGAGACCUGUUUGCCAUCAGAUUGAUCAGAAUCCACAUGAAUCACCAAAAACACUGCUUCUGGAGAAGGUGCUGGCACUGCCAAGAAAUGCUUCUGCCAUGAGAUGGCACUUGUCCAUGCCAGGCUCCUGCUUGGAGAGGACUGGCAGCCUCAGCAGCACCUCAGGCAGGAUCUCCAAGCGUUGCUGUCCAUGAGCUCCCACGCCGGGGAAAGGCGAGGGGAGGCAGGAGCUGGUGCCCUGGCUUCGCU